UCAUUUCUGCUAUCUCAGCCUCAGUGCUAGGGCUUUGUGUCUUACUCAAUCUGGUGUUACUCUGGAUGGGUAACUCUCCUUUCUUGGAAUCCUGCAUGCUGAAUCUCUUCAGCACCUUAUCCAAGUAGGUACUCUGACUAAGUCCAAUUAGUCUUUUACUCCGAUCUCUCAAGAUUCUUAUCCCUAGAAUAUAGGCAGCUUCACCAAGGUCCUUCAUAGCGAAACACUUCCCAAGCCAGGACUUUACUUCCUGCAGGGUUGGAAUGUCGUUUCCUAUGAGUAGUAUGUCAUCCACAUACAAUACCAAAAAGCUAACUAUACUCCCACUAGCCUUGACAUACACACAAGAUUCAUCUUCACUCCUAGAAAAGCCAAAUUCCUUGACCUUUUCAUCAAAGCAAAGAUUCCAUCUGCGAGGUGCUUGCUUCAAUCCAUAAAUGGAUUUCUCAAGCUUACACACUCUAUUAGGGUACUCGUUGCUGACAAAACCCUCUGGCUGACUCAUGUAAACAUCUUCAGCCAACUUUCCAUUAAGGAAAGCGGUUUUGACAUCCAUCUGCCAUAUUUCAUAGUCAUGAAAUGCAGCUAUGGCUAACAGAACCCGAAUAGACUUAAUCUUGGCUACCGGAGAAAAGGUCUCAUCAUAAUCCACUCCAGGAAUUUGAGAGAAGCCCUUUGCAACCAGUCUAGCCUUAUAAGUGUGUACUUUACCAUCCAUGUCGGUCUUCUUCUUGAAGACCCAUUUGCACCCUACUGUCUUACGACCUGGUACAUUUUCAACCAAGUUCCAAACUUGAUUGUCAUACAUGGAUUGUAUCUCGCUAUCCAUAGCCUCUUUCCAUUUAGCAGACUCGGGGCCUGCCAUGGCUUCCUCGUAGCUGUUAGGGUCAUCUUGACUUACUAGUGUCUCAUCACUAAUAAGUGUCUCACCUUCUGCAGUAAUAUGGAAUCCAUAGUAAUGCUCAGGUGCACUCCUAACUCUCGUGGAACGUCUCAGAGGUACAGAUUUGUCAAUUGGCUCAACAGGAGUUUCCUCCUCAAGUUGAGGGCUAGAGUUUGAAGUUCCUUCACCGCUUGAUUCUUGAAUUUCUUCAAGAUCAAUUUGCCUCCCACUGUCUCCUUGGCUUAUAAACUCUCUUUCUCGAAAGACUCCUCUUCUUGCUACAAAGACCACAUUGUCACUAGGUCUGUAGAAGAGGUAACCAAAGGAUCGCUGUGGGUAACCGAUGAAAAUACACCUCUCGCUUCGAGGUUCGAGCUUAUCAUGAGUCUCGCGUCUCACGAAAGCCUCGCAACCCCAAAUCUUGAUGUGGUCUAGUUUAGGUACUUUACCAGUCCACAUCUCGUGAGGAGUUUUGGCAACUUUCUUUGUAGGGACUAGAUUAAGAAUAUGGGCGGCAGUCUCUAAGGCAUACCCCCAGAAUGAGAUUGGUAGCGUAGCUCGACUCAUCAUGGAACGAACCAUAUCUAACAAGGUUCGAUUACGCCUCUCAGCCACACCAUUCAACUGUGGUGUCCUGGGAGGUGUCAAUUGUGAGACUAUCCCACAUUCCCUUAGAUAGUCGAGGAACUCUGAACUAAGAUACUCACCACCACGAUCGGAUCGAAGCAUCUUAAUGUUCCUGCCCAAUUGAUUCUCGACUUCCUGUUUAAAUUCCUUAAACCUCUCGAAAGUCUCUGACUUAUGCUUGAUCAAGUAGACAUAUCCAUAUCUACUAUAAUCAUCAGUAAAAGUCAAAUAAUAACGAUUAGCAUCCCUUGUGGCAUGUUUGAAUGGUCCACACACAUCCGUGUGUAUAAGGUCCAACAAACCUUCACCCCUCUCACACGAACCUGUGAAGGGUGACUUUGUCAUUUUUCCAAGUAAGCAUGAUUCGCAACUAUCAUCUGACUUUAGGUCAAACGACUCCAAGACUCCAUCCUUUUGGAGUUGGCCUAUGCGUUUCUUGCUUAUAUGUCCAAGACGACAAUGCCAUAAAGAUGCUUUAUCCAAGUUAUUAUUAGUAGAAUCAAUACACAAAACAUUAUUUCCCAAGUUAUCUACAACAGAUACAGCUUCAUACACACCAUCACAAGGUAAUGCUUUAAAAUAAAAGACAUUAUUAUAGAAAACAUCUAUAGAACCAACUUCAUUAUUAAAUGAAAAGGUAAACCCUUGUUUGUACAAAGCAUGAAAGGAAAUAAUAUUUCUUGCCAUUCCUGGCGAAUAACAACACUUAUUCAAAUCUAAACUAAACCCACUACUUAGCGAUAAAGUAUAAACUCCAAUCUUGGUAACAGGUAUAGCUUUCCUAUUCCCCAUGAUCAAGUUUAUCCUUCCUUGCUCCACAUCCUCACUUCUUCUUAGUCCCUGCAAGUCACAACAAAUGUGAAUACCACACCCGGUAUCAAGGACCCAAGAAUUAGAAUGGGGUGAGUUAUUAGAAAUGAUAGUGUAAAUACCUGCAUGGUUGGGUUUAACUUUCCCAUCCUUCACAUCUUGCUGGUAUUUUGGGCAGUUCCGCUUCCAAUGAGCUUUUUCAUGGCAAUAGAAGCAUUCAGCCUCUUUUGGGUCAGAAGAAGGAGUAACGAAACCUUUCUUGGUUCCACUUGAAGAAGAGCCAUCAAGGGUCCGAGCCUUGGUACCCUUAGAAGAGCUCUUUCUCUUCCUCCCUCGACUUUUCCCGAUUGCCAAAACCGGAGUAGAGUUUUGAGUAGGAGUGAUAGCAACCGACUUCCCCUUAAGACCUGUUUCUGCGGUCUUGAGAAGUCCCUGAAGUUUGCUGAGGGUGACUUCUUCCUUGUUCAUGUGAUAUGUCAUGCGGAAUUGAUCAUAGCACGAUGGUAAGGAAUGCAAAAUAAUAUCUAUUGCAAGAUCCUCCGGGAAGUUCACAUUAAGCUUCAGCAAACGAUCCACAUACCUUUGCAUUUUCUGCAUGUGGCUCGUGACGGAUUCCCCGUCCUUCAUCAUGGUUGUUAUCAUGGAGCAGAUGAUUUCAUACCUCUCUUGUCUUGCACUUUGAUGGUAUCUUUCCAUCAAAUCUUGGUGCAUGUCAUAAGGGUAGAAAUCCUCAUAAGACUUUUGGAGUUCCGCUGUCAUCGUGGCCAUCAUGAUGCAAGCCACUUUCGUAGCAUCCCUUUCAUGUGCCCGAAAUUCAGCGAUCUCCUGAGGAGUUGCAGUGGACUCAUCAAUCUCCUUAAGCUCCUUGUCAAGGACAUAUUCUUUGUCCUCGUAGCGGGUAAUCAUCCUGAUGUUUCUGAUCCACUCAUUGAAGUUGGAUCCAUCAAAGGUGACUUUCCCACACAAGUUCAUAAGGGUAAAGGAGCCAUUAGGAUUAGAGCCAGAAGCAUUGUUGAAAGACAUCUGAAGGAAAGAGGACAAGAUUAGUUUAGAUAUAAGAGAGUCCUUAAUAAAACACCCAAAUGUAAUAUUAAGGCUAGGAUCCAAUCACAAUAUAAUAUAACUUAGAAGAGGUAUGCCGUAAUCUAAGCUAUAUCAUAUUUGAAAGGUAGGUGAAUGACGAUUCACCAAUUUCCACCACGAAAACCGCAAUAUUUUAGUAUUAGGUUUUUGAAUGGUUCUUAGAAAUUCCUAGAUUCUUUGAGAUUCAAUGAACUUUUCAAAGGCAUGUUUCAAUCUCGAGUGUGCCCUCCAAGUUUUGUGACUGGGAUACCGAGGAUCACAAAACGAGGUGUGAAGUAACCAUGCAAAUCACUUGGUACCCUUAAAGUUUAUCACUCAAUCGAUGUGCCGGUUAACCACACACGCUCCAUCGAUACUAUAAUAAACCCUAAGUCACCCUUUACCUACCUUGUUAAGUCCAAGUUAGUGUGCCGGUUAACCACACACGCUCCACCAACGACUUAAUCAAAGUGUAAAGUGUAAUUUCAUGGAAUAGCACCUUAUUCACAUUUUUCCUAAAGUAACUAAGAUUGGGAAUUUAAUAAAACAUUUAGUUACUUUAUAAUAUUCAUCAUACUUUGAAUGAGAAUUAAUAAGUCCUUGUCUUACCCGUUCGGCUAACGACCCUCCACCGAUCAAGCAAGCGGUGGGUGAGAGUGGACACCCAUUAAGUCACCAUUUUAUAGGCAACAACCUUAUACCCACCUUAUAGACCGGCUUCGUGAAUGAGGCGUACUAGCGGUAAGACGACUUUGUUCUUAUACAUAUAUAUAUAAUUAUUAAAUCAUAAUAAUAUAAGUAUAAGGGUUGAAUUUUAACUUUUAAAAUUCUAAGGGUUGGAACUAAAGUUUUAACUUAACUUUACUUGUUCCAAAACUUGAGGGCAAGUUUUGUAAACUUUCAAAACUUUUCAUGUCUUGUAACUUAUGAGUUUAAUAGAGUAAUAAAAUGAAGACUCUUCACUUUUCUAACUUUUGUGUUCUUUUAAUGGUUUUUAGUCCAAGAGACUUUUGGUUUUCCAUAACUUGAGGACAAGUUAUGGACUCCAUUAAAACACAUUAUGAUCAAGAAUUAAACUACCACAUAGGUUACAAAUAAUUCCUAUGAUCAUCUAAACAUCAUAAGAUCAAGAACAUGAACAUAAGCAUUUUCAUGAAUCAAAACUACACUUAAAACUUUGUAAUUUUGAUAACUAGUUGUUGUAAAUGAAUUAGCAAGACAUUACAACAUCUAAAUCAAGUUUUCAAGUACCAAAACAGUUUAGGGUAAUGUUUCUAAUCCAUUUCCAGCAACUCAAGUCGAAAAUCUGCACUCUGUCGACCCUACUCGCUGAGUGCAUCAACCUACUCCCCGAGUAGGUUGAAGAUUCAAGUGAACUCGACGAGUCCCCCCCAUGGACUCGUCGAGUCCAGCAGUCAGACAGCAAAUUUUUUGACUUUUUUCAACUUUUAAGCACAAAUAACAAACAAACAAGCCUAGGCUCUGAUACCACUGAUGGGUUUUGAGCAUUCUAACACUUCCUAAGUGUACAUGCAACCCUAAUAACCUUGGAUCUAUGUUUGUCUAAUUAUCAUGCAAAGUUGAAUUCCAAGGUUAUAUUCCUAUCUAGCAUACAUGGGGAACAAUUUUAACUUGAAUCAUAGAUAGAAUAACUUACCUUGUUGUUGCUUGUGUUCCUUGAAACCUUGUGAGCCUAGCACCCCAAGUGUGAUGCCUCAAAUGCUUCACACAACACCAAAUGCUCUUGGAAAGACCUUUGAGAUAAUACACACUUCUUAAAAUCGGCCAAGCCCUCUAGUUUCUUAGUGUAGCCGAUUUUGGUGGAGAAUAUGAUUCUUAUAUAGUGUUGACACAUCUAGGGUUACACCAUGUAAACCCUAAUGUGUCAUGACUCUUCAUUUCCAUGACCCAUGGGUUUGUAACUCCCAGGGAGCAUCCAUGGAGCAUCCUAUGGGUAGAACCCAACUUGAUAAUCCAUGGAGCCUCUUAGCCCACUAUACAAGAUAUGAAUGAUUUACAUAAUCAACCCAUAUAUUUAAUUAGUUAUCCUUUGAUCACAUAAUUAAUUCCAAAUUAAUUCUUUGAUCAAACUAAUCAAAUAAUAUUAUUAAUAUAUUAGAACUUAUAAUAUAUUAAUAAUCUCCAAGUGUUAUUUCUCUCAUUUAGUCUAUCCAAUUGCAUGGUGCCAUGCAACCCAAAUGGACCAUGCCGGGUCGGGUCAAGUACAAGCCCGAAAUAGUUAUGGACUUAGACACCUUAUCCAACAGUCUCCCACUUGGAUAAGUCUAAUAACUAUAUCUCUAGUACUUCAGGAACCGACCGGCAAUCGUAGCUCUUUCAAGGUCUCUCGGAACUGAGAAGAUGAUGGUACGCCAUUUAAGAUAAGGGAUCAUAUAAUCCUCCGUUCUAGAUAUCAGCCGGACAAAUACAUGGAACAAUGUCUUACUUAUUGUCCAGCAGUUUGUUUCUCGAUUUCCGAUUUGUUUGACAUAGAACUUAAUUGAACACAUCAACUUAGUUCUGACCGGGCCCGGUACAUGGGUCAAAACAAAAUCAUCGAGGGGCCCAGAUAUCAGCUUCUAAUCCAAGAAGGAACAGAUAAACUUCGACUCAUAUGUUUGUUCUACCACUCAUUGAAUUACACACAAAAGUACGUUUUAUAACAUCGAGUUACCAAUGCGGUUUCGUACAGUCAAUGCAUAACCAACUUGUAAGUAACAAAUCAUAUCUCUAGGUUUGAAGACUUAUAUGAUAUUACCGUCUCACGAUCACUCGAGAUAGAAUUCCAUGAAGUGAUUCCAGUGAGCGUGGGUUGAGUCCAAUGCUCAGAACUUAUGAGCACUCAUGAUUGUUGUAGCCUUGUCCAACACCUUAGACCUCUACAACCCAUCAUGACAGUCUUGAUUCAUACCUACUUCCGACAUAUGACCGACUGUGGAGGUUUGAAUAAUAUGUUAUACCAAACAAAAUUAUUCUGGAAGUCAAAACAUGCAAAAGAAAUAUAGUAAACGAUCGACAAGAGAUAGCAACACUUUACUCAUAAAUAAAACACCUUUUAUUCAUCAUCAAAUGUCAAUUACACUUUACAAAUUUCUGGGUUAUCUAACUACUAAAACUUAUAUCAUCCUUCAGCCCUAUGCUCCGAGCAUGCUGGAGAUGCUUAACCCUACUCAGUCCCUUCGUGAGGGGAUCUGCUGGGUUCUCAUCCGAUGAUACCCUCUUUGCCACGAGGAGUCCUUCUUCGAUCCGAUGUCUAAUGAAAUGGUAUUUUCUGUCGAUGUGUCUGGAUCUCCCAUGAUCCCUUGGUUCCUUGGCUAAGGCAACAGCACUUUCACUAUCACAGAAAAUUUCCAUUGGCUCUUUAAUAGCUGGUACAACUCCAAGGUCUCCAAUGAAGUUCUUCAGCCAUAUCGCCUCCUUUGCUGCUUCACUAGCUGCAAUAUACUCUGAUUCACAAGUAGAAUCUGCCACUGUCUCUUGCUUGGAACUCUUCCAAGAAAUUGCUCCUCCGUUUAGGGUAAAGACCCAGCCCGACUGAGAGCGGAAAUUAUCCCUAUCAGUCUGGAAGCUAGCAUCACUAUACCCUACAACUCUCAAGUCAUCACUCCCACCGAGGGUAAGGACCCAGUCCUUAGUCCUCCGUAGGUACUUGAGGAUAUUCUUUACCGCAGUCCAGUGUGCCUUGCCAGGGUUCGCCUGAUACCUGCUAACCAUGCUCAAGGCAAAAGCUACAUCGGGUCGAGUACACGUCAUAGCAUACAUGAUCGAUCCUACAGCCGAAGCGUAAGGUGUUCGACUCAUUUCUGCUAUCUCAGCCUCAGUGCUAGGGCUUUGUGUCUUACUCAAUCUGGUGUUACUCUGGAUGGGUAACUCUCCUUUCUUGGAAUCCUGCAUGCUGAAUCUCUUCAGCACCUUAUCCAAGUAGGUACUCUGACUAAGUCCAAUUAGUCUUUUACUCCGAUCUCUCAAGAUCCUUAUCCCUAGAAUAUAGGUAGCUUCUCCUAGGUCCUUCAUAGAGAAACACUUCCCAAGCCAGGACUUAACUUCCUGCAGAGUUGGGAUGUCAUUUCCUAUGAGUAGUAUGUCAUCCACAUACAACACCAAAAGGCUAACUAUACUCCCACUAGCCUUGACAUACACGCAAGACUCAUCUUCACUCCUAGAAAAGCCAAAUUCCUUGACCUUUUCAUCAAAGCAAAGAUUCCAUCUGCGAGAUACUUGCUUCAAUCCAUAAAUGGAUUUCUCAAGCUUACACACUCUAUUAGGGUACUCGUUGCUGACAAAACCCUCUGGCUGACUCAUGUAAACAUCUUCAGCCAACUUUCCAUUAAGGAAAGCGGUUUUGACAUCCAUUUUCCAUAUUUCAUAGUCAUGAAAUGCAGUUAUGGCCAACAGAACCCGAAUAGACUUAAUCUUGGCUACUGGGGAAAAGGUCUCAUCAUAGUCCACUCCAGGAAUUUAAGAGAAACCCUUUGCAACCAGUGUAGCCUUAUAUGUGUGUACAUUACCAUCCAUGUCGAUCUUCUUCUUGAAGACCCAUUUGCAACCAGUCUAGCCUUAUGUGCUAGAUUCUUAUACCUCCCUUUUCGCGUAAAUUUAAUGGCUGGAUUCCACAUUCCCGGAGACCCGUACUAUCCCAACCACGCCAAUGCAGGAUGGAUAGAAGAUGAACCUGAAGAUGAUUACCCAAUUCCUUUGGAUGAUCAUGAAGCUGAAGGC
This 8101-nucleotide long non-coding RNA is filed under the name Lactuca sativa (garden lettuce). RNAcentral describes it as "long non-coding RNA (LSAT_LNC009042)". Lineage: Eukaryota; Viridiplantae; Streptophyta; Magnoliopsida; Asterales; Asteraceae. The record is from RNAcentral.